UGGGGAAUAUUGCGCAAUGGGCGAAAGCCUGACGCAGCGACGCCGCGUGAGGGAUGAAGGUUUUCGGAUCGUAAACCUCUGUCAGAAGGGAAGAAACCGCACUGUGCUAAUCAGCAGUGCCUUGACGGUACCUUCAAAGGAAGCACCGGCUAACUCCGUGCCAGCAGCCGCGGUAAUACGGAGGGUGCAAGCGUUAAUCGGAAUUACUGGGCGUAAAGCGCACGUAGGCUGCUUUGUAAGUCAGGGGUGAAAUCCCACGGCUCAACCGUGGAACUGCCUUUGAUACUGCUUAGCUUGAAUCCGGGAGAGGGUGGCGGAAUUCCAGGUGUAGGAGUGAAAUCCGUAGAUAUCUGAAGGAACAUCAGUGGCGAAGGCGGCCACCUGGACCGGUAUUGACGCUGAGGUGCGAAAGCGUGGGGAGCAAACAGG
This 429-nucleotide ribosomal RNA is filed under the name Fusobacteriota bacterium. Its description in RNAcentral is "Fusobacteria bacterium partial 16S ribosomal RNA". It matches the Rfam family "Bacterial small subunit ribosomal RNA", at positions 355 to 776 of the family's 1533-position model. The record is from RNAcentral. Lineage: Bacteria; Fusobacteriati; Fusobacteriota.